GGGUAAUUAGAUCAAGUGGUAGAGCACAUGCUUAACAUGCAUGAGGUCCUGGGUUCAAUCCCCAGCACCUC
Molecule: transfer RNA, 71 nt
Filed under: Camelus bactrianus (Bactrian camel)
Lineage: Eukaryota; Metazoa; Chordata; Mammalia; Artiodactyla; Camelidae
Also listed under: 2 other names
Rfam family: tRNA
About the family: Transfer RNA (tRNA) molecules are approximately 80 nucleotides in length. Their secondary structure includes four short double-helical elements and three loops (D, anti-codon, and T loops).
Source: Rfam by way of RNAcentral